This 305-nucleotide ribosomal RNA is filed under the name uncultured bacterium. RNAcentral describes it as "bacterial SSU rRNA". It matches the Rfam family "Bacterial small subunit ribosomal RNA", at positions 333 to 655 of the family's 1533-position model. The record is from RNAcentral.
UUUGACCUACGGGGCGCAGCAGUGAGGGAUAUUGGUCAAUGGGGGAAACCCUGAACCAGCAACGCCGCGUGAGGGAAGACGGUUUUCGGAUUGUAAACCUCUGUCCUCUGUGAAGAUAAUGACGGUAGCAGAGGAGGAAGCUCCGGCUAACUACGUGCCAGCAGCCGCGGUAAUACGUAGGGGGCAAGCGUUAUCCGGAAUUACUGGGUGUAAAGGGAGCGUAGACGGUAAUGCAAGUCUGGAGUGAAAGGCGGGGGCCCAACCCCCGGACUGCUCUGGAAACUGUGUAACUGGAGUGCAGGAGG